RNAcentral lists this ribosomal RNA (1489 nucleotides) under Lactiplantibacillus pentosus. RNAcentral describes it as "bacterial SSU rRNA". It matches the Rfam family "Bacterial small subunit ribosomal RNA". Lineage: Bacteria; Bacillati; Bacillota; Bacilli; Lactobacillales; Lactobacillaceae. The record is from RNAcentral.
GACGAACGCUGGCGGCGUGCCUAAUACAUGCAAGUCGAACGAACUCUGGUAUUGAUUGGUGCUUGCAUCAUGAUUUACAUUUGAGUGAGUGGCGAACUGGUGAGUAACACGUGGGAAACCUGCCCAGAAGCGGGGGAUAACACCUGGAAACAGAUGCUAAUACCGCAUAACAACUUGGACCACAUGGUCCGAGUUUGAAAGAUGGCUUCGGCUAUCACUUUUGGAUGGUCCCGCGGCGUAUUAGCUAGAUGGUGGGGUAACGGCUCACCAUGGCAAUGAUACGUAGCCGACCUGAGAGGGUAAUCGGCCACAUUGGGACUGAGACACGGCCCAAACUCCUACGGGAGGCAGCAGUAGGGAAUCUUCCACAAUGGACGAAAGUCUGAUGGAGCAACGCCGCGUGAGUGAAGAAGGGUUUCGGCUCGUAAAACUCUGUUGUUAAAGAAGAACAUAUCUGAGAGUAACUGUUCAGGUAUUGACGGUAUUUAACCAGAAAGCCACGGCUAACUACGUGCCAGCAGCCGCGGUAAUACGUAGGUGGCAAGCGUUGUCCGGAUUUAUUGGGCGUAAAGCGAGCGCAGGCGGUUUUUUAAGUCUGAUGUGAAAGCCUUCGGCUCAACCGAAGAAGUGCAUCGGAAACUGGGAAACUUGAGUGCAGAAGAGGACAGUGGAACUCCAUGUGUAGCGGUGAAAUGCGUAGAUAUAUGGAAGAACACCAGUGGCGAAGGCGGCUGUCUGGUCUGUAACUGACGCUGAGGCUCGAAAGUAUGGGUAGCAAACAGGAUUAGAUACCCUGGUAGUCCAUACCGUAAACGAUGAAUGCUAAGUGUUGGAGGGUUUCCGCCCUUCAGUGCUGCAGCUAACGCAUUAAGCAUUCCGCCUGGGGAGUACGGCCGCAAGGCUGAAACUCAAAGGAAUUGACGGGGGCCCGCACAAGCGGUGGAGCAUGUGGUUUAAUUCGAAGCUACGCGAAGAACCUUACCAGGUCUUGACAUACUAUGCAAAUCUAAGAGAUUAGACGUUCCCUUCGGGGACAUGGAUACAGGUGGUGCAUGGUUGUCGUCAGCUCGUGUCGUGAGAUGUUGGGUUGAGUCCCGCAACGAGCGCAACCCUUAUUAUCAGUUGCCAGCAUUAAGUUGGGCACUCUGGUGAGACUGCCGGUGACAAACCGGAGGAAGGUGGGGAUGACGUCAAAUCAUCAUGCCCCUUAUGACCUGGGCUACACACGUGCUACAAUGGAUGGUACAACGAGUUGCGAACUCGCGAGAGUAAGCUAAUCUCUUAAAGCCAUUCUCAGUUCGGAUUGUAGGCUGCAACUCGCCUACAUGAAGUCGGAAUCGCUAGUAAUCGCGGAUCAGCAUGCCGCGGUGAAUACGUUCCCGGGCCUUGUACACACCGCCCGUCACACCAUGAGAGUUUGUAACACCCAAAGUCGGUGGGGUAACCUUUUAGGAACCAGCCGCCUAAGGUGGGACAGAUGAUUAGGGUG